GACGAACGCUGGCGGCGUGCCUAAUACAUGCAAGUCGAGCGGAAUGAUGAAGAAGCUUGCUUCUUCUGAUUUUAGCGGCGGACGGGUGAGUAACACGUGGGCAACCUACCUUGUAGAUUGGGAUAACUCCGGGAAACCGGGGCUAAUACCGAAUAAUCCAUUUUGCUUCAUGGCGAGAUGUUGAAAGACGGUUUCGGCUGUCACUACAAGAUGGGCCCGCGGCGCAUUAGCUAGUUGGUAGGGUAAUGGCCUACCAAGGCGACGAUGCGUAGCCGACCUGAGAGGGUGAUCGGCCACACUGGGACUGAGACACGGCCCAGACUCCUACGGGAGGCAGCAGUAGGGAAUCUUCCACAAUGGACGAAAGUCUGAUGGAGCGACGCCGCGUGAGUGAAGAAGGUUUUCGGAUCGUAAAACUCUGUUGUAAGGGAAGAACACGUACGAGAGUAACUGCUCGUACCUUGACGGUACCUUAUUAGAAAGCCACGGCUAACUACGUG
This 500-nucleotide ribosomal RNA is filed under the name uncultured bacterium. Its description in RNAcentral is "bacterial SSU rRNA". It matches the Rfam family "Bacterial small subunit ribosomal RNA", at positions 28 to 507 of the family's 1533-position model. The record is from RNAcentral.